AACCAGGCCUAUUUUGCAGGGUUGCAUUAGGGCCAAUAGAACAGGAGUCGGGCCAUUUUCAGCCCAACCAAUGUUACAUAUCCUAUUGGGAGACCUUA
Etheostoma spectabile (orangethroat darter) is the source of this 98-nucleotide long non-coding RNA. RefSeq lists it as uncharacterized. The transcript is spliced from 3 exons. Lineage: Eukaryota; Metazoa; Chordata; Actinopteri; Perciformes; Percidae. The record is from RefSeq and is a predicted model, not a curated record.